RNAcentral lists this long non-coding RNA (504 nucleotides) under Nicotiana tabacum (common tobacco). RNAcentral describes it as "long non-coding RNA (NTAB_LNC015560)". Lineage: Eukaryota; Viridiplantae; Streptophyta; Magnoliopsida; Solanales; Solanaceae. The record is from RNAcentral.
CACAGUAAAAUCACAGCAAUUACAAGAUGCCAGGAAAUAUUUUGUAGUAGAAAGUAUUCUUGAAAAGAUACAUGGUGCAAGCUGGAAUACAACUUAAAUAGGAGUACAAGGAUAACGAUCUACUGUGCCAAAGCACUUGUGUUGAAAACAAGGAGAGCACCUCCAGCUAGAAUGCCAACUAAGGUGACUGCCCAUAUGGCUAAGCCAGUGGUACCUGCAAUUUUUACCAUUUUUCAAACUUAGAAGAAAGAAACAAAUAGAGAAACUUAUUCUGUGUAACUUGUUAGGGAUUAAAUGGAGGCUGAAAAAGCAGAACUGAAAGGAUAGGCGAAUCAAGAUCUAGAGUUCGUAAAUUCAAAAUGAAUAUGAUCUUAUUGUAUGUACUAUAUAUUUCUAGCUAAAAGCAAGGGUUUCAUAUUAAAUUUCUUGGAAUCCACCCUAAAUUCUUCUCUUGGCUAUUUUGUAGAAGUAAUCAUCAUCAAUCAAUUUCAAAAAAUUGUCAUA